UAAUAUCUUCAGGGCAGGGUUAAAUUCCCUACCGGUGGUUAUAGCCCACGAGCCGUAAGGCAUGAUUCGGUGUAAUUCCGAAGCCGACAGUAUAGUCUGGAUAAAAGAAGAUUAAC
This 116-nucleotide non-coding RNA is filed under the name Treponema sp. RNAcentral describes it as "FMN sequence". It matches the Rfam family "FMN riboswitch aptamer (RFN element)". Rfam says of the family: The RFN element is a highly conserved domain that is found frequently in the 5'-untranslated regions of prokaryotic mRNAs that encode for flavin mononucleotide (FMN) biosynthesis and transport proteins. The record is from RNAcentral. Lineage: Bacteria; Pseudomonadati; Spirochaetota; Spirochaetia; Treponematales; Treponemataceae.